AUCACUAAGCGGAGGAAAAGAAACUAACAAGGAUUCCCUCAGUAACGGCGAGUGAAGCGGGACCAGCCCAGCACCGAAUCCCCCGGCCCAGCGUCGGCGGGAACUGUGGUGUAUGGGACGUCAACUGUCGUCCGUACCGGUGGCCGAAGUCCUCCUGAUCGGGGCCUCUCCCAGAGCGGGUGUCAGGCCUUUACUGGCUGCUGGUCGGUCGGCUGCGAGCGUCUCCCGAGUCGGGUUGUUUGGGAAUGCAGCCCUAAGCGGGUGGUAAACUCCAUCUAAGGCUAAAUACUGGCACGAGUCCGAUAGCGGACAAGUACCGUGAGGGAAAGUUGAAAAGAACUUUGAAGAGAGAGUUCAACAGUACGUGAAACCGCCUAGAGGUAAACGGGUGGAUCCGCAAAGUCGGCCCGCGGAAUUCAGCUCGGAAGGUUCAGCGGCGCCUGCUGGCUGGGUCGGAGAUCUUUAACCGGACUCUCCCGGCUGCAGGACGCCGCCCGACCGUGUGCACUUUCCGCGGGCAGAGCGCCACGACCGGUUCUCAGGGCGGUCAGAAGGCGGCCGGGGAUGGUAGGCGUGCGCUUCGCGGCGCGCGCUGGUAUAGCCCCGGCCUGUCCCGAUCCGCUCGGGGACCGAGGAGCCUCCGUCGGUGAUAAGGGCCGCCUCGCCCUCCGGGGAUGUCUCGACUGGCAGAGACUGGGCAACCGUGUCUGCCGACCGCUUCCCUGGAUGGACUUUGGGGUGGGCCCCGCCGACACAGGGUCGGUGGCGAAUCGGUCGGCCCUCC
RNAcentral lists this ribosomal RNA (784 nucleotides) under Fusitriton oregonensis. RNAcentral's name for it is "eukaryotic LSU rRNA". It matches the Rfam family "Eukaryotic large subunit ribosomal RNA", at positions 42 to 531 of the family's 3401-position model. The record is from RNAcentral. Lineage: Eukaryota; Metazoa; Mollusca; Gastropoda; Littorinimorpha; Ranellidae.